UAAAAAAAUAUAUUUCCAGCCAUCAAGUGACAAAAAAAAUUCUAUAGGUGUACAAAAAAAAAUAUUUUGCCCUUUAGAAAACCCCCGCCCCCCAUCACUUUUCUAAUGGUCCGUCCCUAUGAUUAACAGCAAUAGCACCUAAUUAUAAAAUUAAGUAACUACUACCACUAAUAUGUCAAUAUUAUAUAUUUACUGUUCAAUUUCAGUUUUCUAUGUUUCUAUGUUUUGUUUUUCAUCAGUCAUAAAGAGAUAAAACUUAACCCAUUGUAAAAUCAUCUGGCAUUAGACGGAGUAAAAUAAUAAAGUACGGCACAUUACGGCGCGAUGCAACUUAAUGGGUUGAUGAAAGAGAAGAUCACUGAGCUGAAUUUAAAAACAGCAUAACAGGCGAAAAACACAAAACCACGAAUACAGAGCGCGAAAAGGUGGACUAAUAUAAACAAAAAUGCUUUAGAGUUAAGUUUCAUAUUUUCUUUUUCACAUUAUAACAUGUUUUCUAAAGGGUGUUUUUUAAUUGACCGAAUUUUCAUUGUGACCAGAAUAAGGGAAUAUUGUAGAGAAUUUCUUUAGCCUUCAAUUUAAGCCUAAGUUAGUUUGUUUGCGUAUCAUGUUGGCGGCUAGAAUGUUCGUUAUCCAAACAAGUAAUUAUAUACUAAAAUGCGUAAAUUCUUCAGUACAUUUUACCGAAAUGGCAUGAGAUAAAAACCAAACAUACUUGCAGGUUCGGUGAGUCCGGGAUUGGACGCACCUCGGGUGGCUGGAAGUUUCCCGAACUCACCUCGUUUUGCUCGGUGCGUCCAAUCCAUGGCGGAGUGCUGACCUCCCUGCAAGUAUGUUUGUUAUAUUGCCACCACAGCUUAUAAUAAUAAUAAUAAUGGUUUAUUACAUUCACUAAAUAGCUUGACAAGCUAAAAUACAGUGAUGUUUACAGUGAUAGAACUUUUACAAUGAUAAAAUGUAAUGUAAAAAGUAUUAAUACUAUGGUCUCUACUUUACUAAAGCUAGUUCAAUGUAAAAAGUCUUAAAACUAUUGUCAUAUUUACAGAUAGAAUUAUAUUAUGUUAGUUAUUACUCACUAUAAUAUAUAAACCCUCAUGCUUACUUAGCAAUAUAAAGAUUAUAUUUGCCAAUUGCAUAUACAAUUGGACUAUGUUUAAAACGUUCUGUUUUACAUGCAAAGUUAUAGUACGUUGCCUCAUUCAUUCUCGUUUCUCGUUGCUUUAUUUGGGAAGUUUUCUUUGGUAAGAGGUGGUUAAGUUUAUGAUUCGGGUUUGACAUGACCUUAAUAAGUUGGACACACAUGUCAUCGCGUCGGUCGGUUAGCGUUUUGAGGUUCGAUUCCAUUAGUGCUUCAUGGUAUUUUAGUUCCGGAUAAAUUAUGCUUAACGCUCUUUUCUGGAUUCGCUCGAUAUCUUCGCUUUGCUCCAUUGUGAACCCGCCGUUCCAAACUUGGGCGCUAUAUUCCAAAACUGAUCUCACUACUGCUACGUAGAAAGUCUUCAGAGCUUCUUUUGAACUUCUUCAUAAAGUAUAGUCUCUUAGCUGCCUUUUUUGUGAUGUACUCAGUGUUCGUUUUCCAUUUAAGGUCAUCGUCGAACCAGAUACCCAGUAGCUUGUAAGAUCUUACUUUAGUGAGAGACUGCUCCCCUAAUGUAGUUGGGGGUAUAACCGUUUUAUUCUUACGAAAGUCGAUGUGCAUUUCUUUGCAUUUUUUAAAAUUCAGUUGCAUAUUUUCGUCGUUCGUAAAUUGUAAUACACUCUCCAAAUUACGUUGGGAGUUGCCGAUCGAUUCUCCAGAGAUAUGAUCGGAAACGUUUAAAACUUCAGACAUGGUAGUGUCAUCCAUAAACAUUGAAACAGUAUCACCGUUCUCAUCAGAUGACUGAACCACUGAUGGGAGAUCGUUUAUAUGAACUAUGAAGGCUAAGGGACCGAUUUUACUACCUUGUGACACCCCACCUUUAAUAUAUGCAGGGUCGGAAAAAGUGUUUCCGACUUUUGUAACUUGUGAUCUGCCUUGGAGGUAUGACCCGAGCCAAGCUAGCAAUGCUGGUCUCACACCUAUUUUCUCGAAGUUCUGGAGUAACUUAUUGUGGUCAAUUAGGUCGAACGCUUUUCGAAAAUCCAGGAAAAUUAUUCUCAC
Molecule: long non-coding RNA, 2143 nt
Filed under: Paramuricea clavata
Lineage: Eukaryota; Metazoa; Cnidaria; Anthozoa; Malacalcyonacea; Plexauridae
Source: RNAcentral